RNAcentral lists this ribosomal RNA (498 nucleotides) under Episyrphus meliscaevoides. Its description in RNAcentral is "eukaryotic LSU rRNA". The record is from RNAcentral. Lineage: Eukaryota; Metazoa; Arthropoda; Insecta; Diptera; Syrphidae.
UGAACCUGAAUAUCCAUUAUGGAAAAUUCAAUGCUAAUAAUAUGAUAUAUAAAAAAUAUUAUAAAAAUAGUGUGCAAUUUUUCCAUAUAAGGACAUUGUAAUCUGUUAAUGUAAUAAAUAUUUAUCAAAAGAUCCAUUACUUAAGUUUAUUCAAAUUGUUUAUCUUCGGAUUUUCAACAUAAAAUAAAUGUUUUGGAUUUGAUAAAUCAUUGACAGAUAUAAUUAUAUAUUGUGCUUAAAUUUUUCGGAAUUUUACAAUGGUAGAUAGAUCUAUUGAUUUGUUUAUUUAAUUGUAUGCACUUUUAUGAUUAACAAUGCGAUAGAUUCAGGAUACCUUCGGGACCCGUCUUGAAACACGGACCAAGGAGUCUAACAUAUGUGCAAGUCAUUGGGUAUUUUUAAUAAAACCCAAUGGCAUAAUUAACUUAACUGUUAUAUAAUAAUGGGAUUAGUUUAUAAUUUGAUAUGAAUUAUUUAUUUCAAUCCCGGGGCGUUCUA